Molecule: ribosomal RNA, 2904 nt
Filed under: Salmonella enterica subsp. enterica serovar Enteritidis
Lineage: Bacteria; Pseudomonadati; Pseudomonadota; Gammaproteobacteria; Enterobacterales; Enterobacteriaceae
Description: 23S ribosomal RNA
Rfam family: Bacterial large subunit ribosomal RNA
Source: RNAcentral
GGUUAAGCGACUAAGCGUACACGGUGGAUGCCCUGGCAGUCAGAGGCGAUGAAGGGCGUGCUAAUCUGCGAUAAGCGCCGGUAAGGUGAUAUGAACCGUUAUAACCGGCGAUACCCGAAUGGGGAAACCCAGUGUGAUUCGUCACACUAUCAUUAACUGAAUCCAUAGGUUAAUGAGGCGAACCGGGGGAACUGAAACAUCUAAGUACCCCGAGGAAAAGAAAUCAACCGAGAUUCCCCCAGUAGCGGCGAGCGAACGGGGAGGAGCCCAGAGCCUGAAUCAGCAUGUGUGUUAGUGGAAGCGUCUGGAAAGGCGCGCGAUACAGGGUGACAGCCCCGUACACAAAAGCGCAUGUGCUGUGAGCUCGAUGAGUAGGGCGGGACACGUGGUAUCCUGUCUGAAUAUGGGGGGACCAUCCUCCAAGGCUAAAUACUCCUGACUGACCGAUAGUGAACCAGUACCGUGAGGGAAAGGCGAAAAGAACCCCGGCGAGGGGAGUGAAAAAGAACCUGAAACCGUGUACGUACAAGCAGUGGGAGCACCCUUUGGGUGUGACUGCGUACCUUUUGUAUAAUGGGUCAGCGACUUAUAUUCUGUAGCAAGGUUAACCGAAUAGGGGAGCCGGAGGGAAACCGAGUCUUAAUUGGGCGUUAAGUUGCAGGGUAUAGACCCGAAACCCGGUGAUCUAGCCAUGGGCAGGUUGAAGGUUGGGUAACACUAACUGGAGGACCGAACCGACUAAUGUUGAAAAAUUAGCGGAUGACCUGUGGCUGGGGGUGAAAGGCCAAUCAAACCGGGAGAUAGCUGGUUCUCCCCGAAAGCUAUUUAGGUAGCGCCUCGUGAAUUCAUCUCCGGGGGUAGAGCACUGUUUCGGCUAGGGGGCCAUCCCGGCUUACCAACCCGAUGCAAACUGCGAAUACCGGAGAAUGUUAUCACGGGAGACACACGGCGGGUGCUAACGUCCGUCGUGAAGAGGGAAACAACCCAGACCGCCAGCUAAGGUCCCAAAGUCAUGGUUAAGUGGGAAACGAUGUGGGAAGGCCCAGACAGCCAGGAUGUUGGCUUAGAAGCAGCCAUCAUUUAAAGAAAGCGUAAUAGCUCACUGGUCGAGUCGGCCUGCGCGGAAGAUGUAACGGGGCUAAACCAUGCACCGAAGCUGCGGCAGCGACACUGUGUGUUGUUGGGUAGGGGAGCGUUCUGUAAGCCUGUGAAGGUGUGUCGUGAGGCAUGCUGGAGGUAUCAGAAGUGCGAAUGCUGACAUAAGUAACGAUAAAGCGGGUGAAAAGCCCGCUCGCCGGAAGACCAAGGGUUCCUGUCCAACGUUAAUCGGGGCAGGGUGAGUCGACCCCUAAGGCGAGGCCGAAAGGCGUAGUCGAUGGGAAACGGGUUAAUAUUCCCGUACUUGGUGUUACUGCGAAGGGGGGACGGAGAAGGCUAUGUUGGCCGGGCGACGGUUGUCCCGGUUUAAGCGUGUAGGUGUGUGUUCCAGGUAAAUCCGGUUCACUUUAACACUGAGGCGUGACGACGAGGCACUACGGUGCUGAAGCAACAAAUGCCCUGCUUCCAGGAAAAGCCUCUAAGCAUCAGGUAACAUCAAAUCGUACCCCAAACCGACACAGGUGGUCAGGUAGAGAAUACCAAGGCGCUUGAGAGAACUCGGGUGAAGGAACUAGGCAAAAUGGUGCCGUAACUUCGGGAGAAGGCACGCUGACACGUAGGUGAAGUGAUUUACUCAUGGAGCUGAAGUCAGUCGAAGAUACCAGCUGGCUGCAACUGUUUAUUAAAAACACAGCACUGUGCAAACACGAAAGUGGACGUAUACGGUGUGACGCCUGCCCGGUGCCGGAAGGUUAAUUGAUGGGGUCAGCGCAAGCGAAGCUCCUGAUCGAAGCCCCGGUAAACGGCGGCCGUAACUAUAACGGUCCUAAGGUAGCGAAAUUCCUUGUCGGGUAAGUUCCGACCUGCACGAAUGGCGUAAUGAUGGCCAGGCUGUCUCCACCCGAGACUCAGUGAAAUUGAACUCGCUGUGAAGAUGCAGUGUACCCGCGGCAAGACGGAAAGACCCCGUGAACCUUUACUAUAGCUUGACACUGAACAUUGAGCCUUGAUGUGUAGGAUAGGUGGGAGGCUUUGAAGUGUGGACGCCAGUCUGCAUGGAGCCGACCUUGAAAUACCACCCUUUAAUGUUUGAUGUUCUAACGUGGACCCGUUACCCGGGUUGCGGACAGUGUCUGGUGGGUAGUUUGACUGGGGCGGUCUCCUCCUAAAGAGUAACGGAGGAGCACGAAGGUUGGCUAAUCCUGGUCGGACAUCAGGAGGUUAGUGCAAUGGCAUAAGCCAGCUUGACUGCGAGCGUGACGGCGCGAGCAGGUGCGAAAGCAGGUCAUAGUGAUCCGGUGGUUCUGAAUGGAAGGGCCAUCGCUCAACGGAUAAAAGGUACUCCGGGGAUAACAGGCUGAUACCGCCCAAGAGUUCAUAUCGACGGCGGUGUUUGGCACCUCGAUGUCGGCUCAUCACAUCCUGGGGCUGAAGUAGGUCCCAAGGGUAUGGCUGUUCGCCAUUUAAAGUGGUACGCGAGCUGGGUUUAGAACGUCGUGAGACAGUUCGGUCCCUAUCUGCCGUGGGCGCUGGAGAACUGAGGGGGGCUGCUCCUAGUACGAGAGGACCGGAGUGGACGCAUCACUGGUGUUCGGGUUGUCAUGCCAAUGGCACUGCCCGGUAGCUAAAUGCGGAAGAGAUAAGUGCUGAAAGCAUCUAAGCACGAAACUUGCCCCGAGAUGAGUUCUCCCUGAGACUUAAAGUCUCCUGAAGGAACGUUGAAGACGACGACGUUGAUAGGCCGGGUGUGUAAGCGCAGCGAUGCGUUGAGCUAACCGGUACUAAUGAACCGUGAGGCUUAACCUU